Molecule: long non-coding RNA, 1742 nt
Organism: Hypanus sabinus (Atlantic stingray)
Lineage: Eukaryota; Metazoa; Chordata; Chondrichthyes; Myliobatiformes; Dasyatidae
Exons: 5
Source: RefSeq, a predicted model, not a curated record
CAGAUCAAAGUGGCAGGGUGAUGUGAAACAGAAUCUCAAGUGAGGAGAUCAGAAAUCACAAGAGGGCUUUUUAGCCCACUGCCCGCAUAAUUUCAACCUAACCUAUCAGUGACACGCUCUUCAUUCUCCCGGCCCCAGAAAGGCCAAUAAGAAAACCCAGAUAUUUUAUUUCACCUAUUAGGUGUUCAAAAAUUCAUAGUUAAAAGAAUGGAGAGGUUCACCAAUCAGCAGCUAAUGUACCUUUAAGGGCUGAGGUGAGCCGGUCUCCUAGCAACAGCCAGGUUUGCAGCAGUUGGACAAUUAGGUUUUAGUAUCACAUUAGUUAAAAGAGGCCCUGCGGGGGGAAGAAGGUGAGGGACGUUUUAACUGGAUAGCAGUUCUGUCUGGGUUUAGAGACUCCACAGAAGACCCGAGUGACGGACGAGAGUCGAGUUGGACCUUCCGGUCGGGAAUCACGCUUUUUUGAAGGCAAUUGGUUGGAGUCGAAAUCGCAGACGCAAGAUAAGCAUUCUGUCUGGGUUUAGAGACUCCACAGAAGACCCGAGUGACGGACGAGAGUCGAGUUGGACCUUCCGGUCGGGAAUCACGCUUUUUUGAAGGCAAUUGGUUGGAGUCGAAAUCGCAGACGCAAGAUAAGCAUUCUGUCUGGGUUUAGAGACUCCACAGAAGACCCGAGUGACGGACGAGAGUCGAGUUGGACCUUCCGGUCGGGAAUCACGCUUUUUUGAAGGCAAUUGGUUGGAGUCGAAAUCGCAGACGCAAGAUAAGCAUUCUGUCUGGGUUUAGAGACUCCACAGAAGACCCGAGUGACGGACGAGAGUCGAGUUGGACCUUCCGGUCGGGAAUCACGCUUUUUUGAAGGCAAUUGGUUGGAGUCGAAAUCGCAGACGCAAGAUAAGCAUUCUGUCUGGGUUUAGAGACUCCACAGAAGACCCGAGUGACGGACGAGAGUCGAGUUGGACCUUCCGGUCGGGAAUCACGCUUUUUUGAAGGCAAUUGGUUGGAGUCGAAAUCGCAGACGCAAGAUAAGCAGUAGGAACAUUAUUCUUUUAUUUAUUGUCUUACUUACAUUAUUGUCUUAAUGAUGUGGAAAGGCAAAGAUAGGAGAGGUUGUGUGGAUCGAUACCUGCCACGUGGGCGAGUGGGUAACUCUGGUUAGUGUCCCUGGGGAUUCCUUCUUAACCACGGUCAGGUUAAAAAUAGUCCAGAACUUUCAUUAUGUGAAAAUUCUGGAAAAAUAGUCCCAACUACCUAAGGGAAUUAAGAAGUAGGCCUACAGAUUCUCCGCAUGGCCUGAGUGAGGCCCAAGGAGCUAGGCCGCCCUGGAAUUAAACCCUUAGAAGUAGUAUGACCUGUACAAUUUUGUGCCUUUCGUUGUCUGGUCUAGGGGGUAGUACAUACGCCAAGCGUGAUUGGCUUGGUUUAAGCCAUUUCAGGGGAGGUGUCGCCUUUCAUUGUCUGGUCCAGGGGUAAUACACACGGCAAGCUUGAUCAACUUGACGGAGCCGGCUCGGGGAGGGUGUCUAAUGUAAAGGCUCGAAACACCCGAAGAUCCGAGAGUGCAUUACUGAUGAUGUGUCCUGGCACAUGAUAAUGAGAGGUUUCGAUUUUCCUAUACAAGCAGCUGGCUUAGGAGCUCAGACUUUAAAUUCUGCAGACUAACCUUUGCCAGCUAAACAUAUAGAUCCACCAGCCCUACACUUAAACCUAAUCCUAAAGUCCAAAAGGGGCAUACACCCCCA